UUCAGUUUAACUCAAAAUGAAACAGUCUUAUGUCCUCUAAAUUCACAGUUGCCUAUGGUCUCUGCACAGUUUUUCUGCCUGGAAGUACUUCUUUAAAAUAAAAUAUCUAGUUGUGGUUGGAUAUACACAUCUCCAAAGUCUCCAGGAGAUGAACCUGAGCUGGAGUCUUCUGGUGAUCAUGAAAAUAUAACAUAAAACAACCAAAAAGAAGAAGAAUAAC
Molecule: long non-coding RNA, 220 nt
Filed under: Homo sapiens (human)
Lineage: Eukaryota; Metazoa; Chordata; Mammalia; Primates; Hominidae
Description: HSALNT0077292
Source: RNAcentral